GCAGUGGUGGUUCUGUGGUAGAAUUCUUGCCUUCCAUGCAAGAAACCUGGGUUAGAUACCCGUCCAAGGUA
Molecule: transfer RNA, 71 nt
Filed under: Loxodonta africana (African savanna elephant)
Lineage: Eukaryota; Metazoa; Chordata; Mammalia; Proboscidea; Elephantidae
Rfam family: tRNA
About the family: Transfer RNA (tRNA) molecules are approximately 80 nucleotides in length. Their secondary structure includes four short double-helical elements and three loops (D, anti-codon, and T loops).
Source: Rfam by way of RNAcentral